GCGGCCAUGGCGGAAUGGUAGACGCGCUAGUUUCAGACGCUAGUGGGGGAACCCGUGGAAGUUCAAGUCUUCUUGGCCGCACCA
RNAcentral lists this transfer RNA (84 nucleotides) under Erysipelotrichaceae bacterium. RNAcentral describes it as "tRNA-Leu". It matches the Rfam family "tRNA". From Rfam's summary of the family: Transfer RNA (tRNA) molecules are approximately 80 nucleotides in length. Their secondary structure includes four short double-helical elements and three loops (D, anti-codon, and T loops). Lineage: Bacteria; Bacillati; Bacillota; Erysipelotrichia; Erysipelotrichales; Erysipelotrichaceae. The record is from RNAcentral.